UCCCUGGUGGCUCAGACGAUAAAGCAGCUGCCUGCAACGCUGGAGACCCAAGUUCGAUCCCUGGGUAGGGAA
RNAcentral lists this transfer RNA (72 nucleotides) under Ovis aries (sheep). It matches the Rfam family "tRNA". From Rfam's summary of the family: Transfer RNA (tRNA) molecules are approximately 80 nucleotides in length. Their secondary structure includes four short double-helical elements and three loops (D, anti-codon, and T loops). Further hydrogen bonds mediate the characteristic L-shaped molecular structure. tRNAs have two regions of fundamental functional importance: the anti-codon, which is responsible for specific mRNA codon recognition, and the 3' end, to which the tRNAs corresponding amino acid is attached (by aminoacyl-tRNA synthetases). tRNAs cope with the degeneracy of the genetic code in two manners: having more than one tRNA (with a specific anti-codon) for a particular amino acid; and 'wobble' base-pairing, i.e. permitting non-standard base-pairing at the 3rd anti-codon position. Lineage: Eukaryota; Metazoa; Chordata; Mammalia; Artiodactyla; Bovidae. The record is from Rfam by way of RNAcentral.